This 440-nucleotide ribosomal RNA is filed under the name uncultured bacterium. RNAcentral describes it as "partial 16S ribosomal RNA". It matches the Rfam family "Bacterial small subunit ribosomal RNA", at positions 338 to 795 of the family's 1533-position model. The record is from RNAcentral.
CCUACGGGUGGCAGCAGUGAGGAAUAUUGGGCAAUGGAGGCAACUCUGACCCAGCCAUGCCGCGUGAGUGAUGAAGGCCUUCGAAUUGUACAGCUCUUUCGGAUGUGAAGUUGAUGACGGUAACAUCUAAUGAAGCCCUGGCCAACUUCGUGCCAGCAGCCGCGGUAAUACGCAGGGGGCAAGCGUUGUUCGGAAUUACUGGGCGUAAAGGGUGUGUAGGCGGGUAAGUAAGAUCGUGGUGAAAUGCCUGAGCUCAACUUUGGAACUGCCAUUAAAACUAUUUUUCUAGAGUAACAGAGAGGAUAUUGGAAUACGCAGUGUAGAGGUGAAAUUCGUAGAUAUUGGGUAGAACACCGGAGGCGAAGGCGAGUAUCUGGCUGUCAACUGACGCUGAGGCACGAAAGCAUGGGGAUCAAACAGGAUUAGAUACCCGGGUAGUC